GUAACAAGGUCUCCGUAGGUGAACCUGCGGAGGGAUCAUUACACAAAUAUGAAGGCGGGCUGGAACCUCUCGGGGUUACAGCCUUGCUGAAUUAUUCACCCUUGUCUUUUGCGUACUUCUUGUUUCCUUGGUGGGUUCGCCCACCACUAGGACAAACAUAAACCUUUUGUAAUUGCAAUCAGCGUCAGUAACAAAUUAAUAAUUACAACUUUCAACAACGGAUCUCUUGGUUCUGGCAUCGAUGAAGAACGCAGCGAAAUGCGAUAAGUAGUGUGAAUUGCAGAAUUCAGUGAAUCAUCGAAUCUUUGAACGCACAUUGCGCCCUUUGGUAUUCCAAAGGGCAUGCCUGUUCGAGCGUCAUUUGUACCCUCAAGCUUUGCUUGGUGUCGGGCGUCUUGUCUCUAGCUUUGCUGGAGACUCGCCUUAAAGUAAUUGGCAGCCGGCCUACUGGUUUCGGAGCGCAGCACAAGUCGCACUCUCUAUCAGCAAAGGUCUAGCAUCCAUUAAGCCUUUUUUUCAACUUUUGACCUCGGAUCAGGUAGGGAUACCCGCUGAACUUA
Molecule: ribosomal RNA, 560 nt
Filed under: uncultured fungus
Lineage: Eukaryota; Fungi
Description: eukaryotic LSU rRNA
Rfam family: 5.8S ribosomal RNA (bases 207-360)
Source: RNAcentral